GCCUGCUUAGCUCAGUGGUAGAGCGCGUCACUUGUACCUCAUGGGGCUCGACCACAUGAAAUGCAUGACGAGGUCAGUCGUUCAAACCGGCUAGUUGGCA
This is a non-coding RNA of Russula ochroleuca, 100 nucleotides long. The record is from the annotation of a GenBank genome assembly. Lineage: Eukaryota; Fungi; Basidiomycota; Agaricomycetes; Russulales; Russulaceae.